GUAUUAUUUCUGGCAUAUCUGUAAGUGUAGCCCAGUAUUUAAUAAGUUGGCCCCCAUCAUCCAUUGGUGGCCUUUGGAUUCUAAGACAAAUCUGGACCUGAUGUGAAGUCAUUACAGUCAGGGACUGUUUUAGGUUUCG
Molecule: long non-coding RNA, 139 nt
Organism: Lutra lutra (Eurasian river otter)
Lineage: Eukaryota; Metazoa; Chordata; Mammalia; Carnivora; Mustelidae
Exons: 3
Source: RefSeq, a predicted model, not a curated record